Molecule: long non-coding RNA, 919 nt
Organism: Motacilla alba alba
Lineage: Eukaryota; Metazoa; Chordata; Aves; Passeriformes; Motacillidae
Exons: 4
Source: RefSeq, a predicted model, not a curated record
UUUUAUGGGAGAAAUAUCAGGGUUUGAGGCUGGUUAUAAAAUCUGGGGAAAUUGCAGCCCAUGGAUGAUUUCAUGGAAGAAUUAUCAGGGUUUGAGGAUGGUGAUAAAGCCUUGGAAAACCUCAGCACCUGGAUGGUUUGAUUGAAGAAUAAUCAGGGUUUGAGGAUGAUUAUAAAAUCCUGGAGAACUGCAGCCCACGGAUGAUUUCAUGGAAGAAUUAUCAGGGUUUGAAGCUGAUUUAAAAUCUUGGAAUAUCGCAGCAGCUGGAUUUUAUUCUGAGGAAUAUCAGGGCCUGGGGUUGAUUUAUAAAUCUUGGAAAACUGCAGAGCACGGAUGGUUUUAUGGAAGAAAUAUCAAGGUUUGGGGCUGAGUUAAAAUCCUGGAGAACCGCAGAGCACGGAUGGUUUUAUGGAAGAAUUGUCACGGUUGAGGCUGAUUUCAAAAUCUUGGGAUGCUGCAGCAGUUGGAUUUUAUUUUAUUCUGGAUUUUAUCCAGAACUCGCUCCUGCCAUCUCAGUUUGUGUCCAGAAUCCUGAAACUGCCACGGAAAACAACCCAAAAAUCCCACGGGAGGGCAAGAAUGGGUUUUUUUUGGAGGUUUAGAGAGGCCCAGCUACAAGCAACAACCUCAGGAAGAAGAGGCAGCUGAAUGAAUCCCAUUUCUUUGCAAACCCACUGGGUUGCAUGACCUCAGAGUUCUUUCCCAGCCUGAACAACUCCAGGCCUCCAAGAUUCAUCCAGCUGGGAGCUUUUUAUUUCCUGGCUGAACCCCAGAUGGUCCUUUUGGGGUUCCCCCUGUAAAUCCCUUUGGAGAAAACCCUUCCAGUGCUGACCUCUGCAGGCCGAGGAGCUGCUUGGAACGCCGGGCAGCAAUAACCUGAAUAAUGCAUGAAGCAGGUGUUUUUACUGCCGCUGGCUGU